GAGCAAAUAAAUUACGUUGUCAAAUUGAAUGGGUCCUGAUAGAGAACUUUGAUUAGCUCGCCUUAAGACGAGUUGAUAAAUCAAAGUAAAAACCCACACAAAAUGUGCAGACGUUUAUAUAAAAAUUAAAUAUACAUGAAAGGCACACAGGCCAGCCAAAAGAGUGGAACGAUUUAUGCCUCCGGGUUAUAAAUUAAGAUAAUAAACCACCAAAUUGUUAUAAGUUAAUUAAGCUAAAUGAAAAGCUCUUAAGCAUCAGGCGGCGAGGCACCAGGACAUCCAAGACUCCCAAGGAUCCAAUGAUGAACCGAGACCAUCAAGGUGAAGUUGGGUGAAAAAAAAAUAUGCCAUAGUUAUAACUGAAAG
Molecule: long non-coding RNA, 366 nt
Organism: Drosophila montana
Lineage: Eukaryota; Metazoa; Arthropoda; Insecta; Diptera; Drosophilidae
Exons: 2
Source: RefSeq, a predicted model, not a curated record